GACGAACGCUGGCGGCGUGCCUAAUACAUGCAAGUAGAACGCUGAAGGAGGAGCUUGCUUCUCUGGAUGAGUUGCGAACGGGUGAGUAACGCGUAGGUAACCUGCCUGGUAGCGGGGGAUAACUAUUGGAAACGAUAGCUAAUACCGCAUAAUAGUAGAUGUCGCAUGACAUUUGCUUAAAAGGUGCAAUUGCAUCACUACCAGAUGGACCUGCGUUGUAUUAGCUAGUUGGUGAGGUAACGGCUCACCAAGGCAACGAUACAUAGCCGACCUGAGAGGGUGAUCGGCCACACUGGGACUGAGACACGGCCCAGACUCCUACGGGAGGCAGCAGUAGGGAAUCUUCGGCAAUGGACGGAAGUCUGACCGAGCAACGCCGCGUGAGUGAAGAAGGUUUUCGGAUCGUAAAGCUCUGUUGUAAGAGAAGAACGAGUGUGAGAGUGGAAAGUUCACACUGUGACGGUAUCUUACCAGAAAGGGGCGGCUAACUACGUG
This 495-nucleotide ribosomal RNA is filed under the name uncultured bacterium. RNAcentral's name for it is "partial 16S ribosomal RNA". It matches the Rfam family "Bacterial small subunit ribosomal RNA", at positions 28 to 507 of the family's 1533-position model. The record is from RNAcentral.